RNAcentral lists this ribosomal RNA (915 nucleotides) under uncultured marine archaeon. RNAcentral describes it as "bacterial SSU rRNA". It matches the Rfam family "Archaeal small subunit ribosomal RNA", at positions 1 to 921 of the family's 1478-position model. The record is from RNAcentral.
UUCCGGUUGAUCCCGCCGGAGGCUACCGCUAUUGGAGUUCGAUUAAGCCAUGCGAGUCGCGAGAAAUUAGAUUCUCGGCGUACCGCUCAGUAACACGUGGGUAACCUGCCCUAUGCUGGAUAAUAACCUCGGGAAACUGAGAAUAAUGAUCCAUAGUUCACUACGCCUGGAACGGUGAGUGGAUGAAAGCUCCGGCGGCAUAGGAUGGGCCUGCGGCGUAUCAGGUUGUAGGGGGUGUAACGUACCCUCUAGCCCUCUACGCGUACGGGUGUUGGGAGACAUAGCCCGGAGAUGGAUUCUGAGACACGAAUCCAGACCCUACGGGGUGCAGCAGGCGCGAAAACUUGGCAAUGCGAGAAAUCGUGACCAGGGAACUCCAAGUGCAUCGGGUAAGACCGGUGCUUUUCUUGACUCUAAAUAGGUCUUGGAAUAAGGGGUGGGUAAGGACGGUGCCAGCCGCCGCGGUAAUACCGGCGCCUCAAGUGGUAGUCGCUUUUAUUGGGCCUAAAACGUCCGUAGCCGGUCUGAUACAUUCGUGGGUAAAUCAACCAGCUUAACUGGUUGAAUUCUGCGAGGACGGUCAGACUUGGGACCGGGAGAGGUGUGGGGUACGCUCAGGGUAGGGGUAAAAUCCUGUCAUCCUGAGCGGACCACCUGUUGCGAAGGCGCCACACUAGAACGGAUCCGACGGUCAGGGACGAAGCCUAGGGGCACGAACCGGAUUAGAUACCCGGGUAGUCCUAGGUGUAAACGCUGUGGACUUGAUGUUGGGGGUGCUCCGAGCACUCUCAGUGUCGAAGCGAAGGUGAUAAGUCCACUGCCUGGGAAGUACGGUCGCAAGGCUGAAACUUAAAGGAAUUGGCGGGGGAGCACCGCAACCUGAGGAUUGUGCGGUUUAAUUGGAUUCAACGCCGG